Molecule: ribosomal RNA, 467 nt
Filed under: uncultured bacterium
Lineage: Bacteria
Description: partial 16S ribosomal RNA
Rfam family: Bacterial small subunit ribosomal RNA
Source: RNAcentral
GACGAACGCUGGCGGCGUGCUUAACACAUGCAAGUCGAACGGAAAGGCCCUGCUUUUGUGGGGUGCUCGAGUGGCGAACGGGUGAGUAACACGUGAGUAACCUGCCCUUGACUUUGGGAUAACUUCAGGAAACUGGGGCUAAUACCGGAUAGGAGCUCCUGCUGCAUGGUGGGGGUUGGAAAGUUUCGGCGGUUGGGGAUGGACUCGCGGCUUAUCAGCUUGUUGGUGGGGUAGUGGCUUACCAAGGCUUUGACGGGUAGCCGGCCUGAGAGGGUGACCGGCCACAUGGGGGCGGAGAUAGGGCCCAGACCCCUCGGGGAGGGAGGAGGGGGGAAUAUUGCACAAGGGGCGGAAGCCUGAUGGAGCAACCCCGGGGGGGGGAUGGCGGCCUUGGGGUUGUAAACCGCUUUCCCCUGUGACGAAGCGGGAGGGGCGGAAAUGGGUAAAGAAGCACCGGCUAAUUACGU